UUUAUGCCUUCCUAUUCAAACUGUGCUACUCCAAUGGAAUGAUGACGCAUACCUUUUUAUCCAAUCUUGAAUAAUAGCAGUCAGAUGUUAGCGGCCCAGUUAUGUCUUCAUGGUAUGUCUCAGAUGGUAGUUUGUGGGUUCAAGUCCUUAAAAGUAGUUGAUACAGUUCUUGAUCUCCCAUCUGCCAGGAUCUGUCGUUGAAUGUUCAAGACGUAUUUCCUAUGACAGUCAUAGUAUUGAGACAUGGUGUGAUAAUUUGGUAACAUCUAUGCAAAUAUCAUUGGGUUAGAAUGAGGCAUAUGAACUAGAAUUAUAUAUUCUGGUGCUCUGAUGGCCCCUCUUAGUUCUUUGUUGUAUGUGGUGGAAGUUCAAUUGCCAAAUAAACAGUCUAAUAUUGUAAUUCGUCAUGUUAGGAAAUUAUUGUUAAACAUCUGUAAAUAACACAGUUUGACCUUCAUUAACAUAUUUCUGGUAGGCUGGAAAACCUUCCCAUUGAGAGCAUAAGCUCUUUUAUUAUACAUUUAAAUUGUACUCUACAUUUUUUUGACAGAUGCGGCGUUUGACGUAAUUCCAGUUUAGAAUGUGGUUUAAUUA
This is a long non-coding RNA of Vitis riparia (riverbank grape), 594 nucleotides long. RefSeq lists it as uncharacterized. The transcript has 2 exons. NCBI's taxonomy places the organism in Eukaryota, Viridiplantae, Streptophyta, Magnoliopsida, Vitales, Vitaceae. The record is from RefSeq and is a predicted model, not a curated record.